Molecule: ribosomal RNA, 248 nt
Filed under: uncultured bacterium
Lineage: Bacteria
Description: partial 16S ribosomal RNA
Rfam family: Bacterial small subunit ribosomal RNA
Source: RNAcentral
UACGGGGGGGCAAGCGUUGUUCGGAAUUACUGGGCGUAAGGGCGCGUAGGCGGCCCUCUAAGUCAGACGUGAAAUCCACGCUUAACCGUGAACUGCGUCUGAUACUGGCGACCUUGAGUCCGGGAGAGGUGAGUGGAACUGCGAGUGUAGAGGUGAAAUUCGUAGAUAUUCGCAAGAACACCAGUGGCGAAGGCGGCUCACUGGCCCGGUACUGACGCUGAGGUGCGAAACGUGGGGAGCAAACAGGG